CUCAUGAAGUUAGGGCUACUGAUACCAGUAGUAGUGGCAGUUAUUGCCUCUGGGGGGCGCGCUUGCGUUCCGCUCAAGGGAGCUACCCACGAAACCCACGAGCGAGGAAUCCCUUUUUCAUUUAGCUGACGCUUUUAUCCAAAGCGACUUACGUUACAUUUUUAACCCAUGGCUUUACAUUUACAUUUUGCCUGGGAGCAAUAAGGGGUUAGGUGUCUUGCUCAGGGACACUUCGACAUGGGGCAGCCGGGACUUGAACCACCAACCUUGCGGUUCCCAGUGCCCCCUCUCUACCCCCGCGCGCCACGUCGCCCCCUUUUAUCCUUCCAGGAGACGUGAAGAAAAGAGCUCCCGGAUUUCGAGAGCCAGUUGAGUGUCAACUGACAUAAUCCCAUCGAAUAAUCGCGUACUGGAAACUCCGAUUGGUUUUUUAUGCACACUAGAAGAACCUGAACCCUGUGAAUCUGAAUGCUGAGAUGGCGAGCUAAACCCGGAUCGUGGAUGCGGUGUGGCCGACCGUAUGAUCAGACCCAACCUGAUUCGUGUAUCGAGAAGACGUCAGACUCCAGUCCUGCCGUCAGGUAGACGGUAGGAAGGUAGUUCAGAGAGACCGUAUACAUAAAGACCCGCACCACAACGGAACUCGGACCUCACGCACACACUAUUUACGGACUGAACGGAUUAUAUCCUUGACUUGUAUAUUUAUCUACUCUGGGAAGACUGAGUUCUUUCACAAGAAGCAUACAAUUUCCCGAUCAUCUACUCUUCUUUUGUUUUUUCAUUUCACACUGUUUUAUAUUGUGAUUGUUGCAUGACCGAGUGAAGCAAUAAACUGGUCAUUCGUU
This is a non-coding RNA of Gasterosteus aculeatus aculeatus (three-spined stickleback), 845 nucleotides long. The record is from RefSeq and is a predicted model, not a curated record. Lineage: Eukaryota; Metazoa; Chordata; Actinopteri; Perciformes; Gasterosteidae.